GUCGCCAAUUCGCUAACUGUGUAGAUACUAGUACUAAAAUUAUUACCACCAUCCCUACAACGGUACCUAAGUCUUCAGAAAAUAAGACAACACCACAGAACAAAUCCAUUACACUACAAAUCAUGAUUGUAUAGGUAAAACAUCAAGAAGCUGUUUAAUCUGUAUCACAACGAAGGGCCGAUUUGUUAAAAUGCCAGAAAAGGCCAUAUAACAUAUGUUAGUAACACAAGGUAUUCUAUUGCCAGCUGAUGUAAGAUGUUCUCCGGUUAAUAUAUAUAUUAUCUUAUCUUAUAGACGAUAAAACAUUAAAAGACCAGGACAAAUACUGAUAUACAUAUAUUCAGAAUGAGAAAAACA
This 357-nucleotide long non-coding RNA is filed under the name Mytilus galloprovincialis (Mediterranean mussel). The record is from RNAcentral. Lineage: Eukaryota; Metazoa; Mollusca; Bivalvia; Mytilida; Mytilidae.